UACGGAGACUGCAAGCGUUACUCGGAUUCAUUGGGUUUAAAGGGUCCGUAGGCGGAUUUUUAAGUCAGUGGUGAAAGCCGACAGCUCAACUGUCGAACUGCCAUUGAUACUGGAAAUCUUGAGUACAAAUGAAGUAGGCGGAAUGAGUCAUGUAGCGGUGAAAUGCAUAGAUAUGACUCAGAACACCGAUUGCGAAGGCAGCUUACUAACAUGUAACUGACGCUGAGGGACGAAAGCGUGGGGAGCGAACAGG
This 253-nucleotide ribosomal RNA is filed under the name uncultured bacterium. RNAcentral's name for it is "partial 16S ribosomal RNA". It matches the Rfam family "Bacterial small subunit ribosomal RNA", at positions 524 to 776 of the family's 1533-position model. The record is from RNAcentral.